Molecule: ribosomal RNA, 547 nt
Filed under: uncultured archaeon
Lineage: Archaea
Description: bacterial SSU rRNA
Rfam family: Bacterial small subunit ribosomal RNA
Source: RNAcentral
AGCCGCGGUAAUACGGAGGGGGCAAGCGUUACCCGGAUUUACUGGGUGUAAAGGGUCCGCAGGCGGUUAAGCAAGUCAGUUUUUAAAUACUCUGGCUCAACCAGAGAAUUGGAACAGAUACUGCUUAACUAUGAGUCUAGAGGGGGAAAACGGAACUGCCGGUGUAGCGGUGAAAUGCGUAGAUAUCGGCAGGAACACCUGUGGCGAAGGCGGUUUUCUACUCUGGUACUGACGCUCAUGGACGAAAGCGUGGGGAGCGAUCGGGAUUAGAUACCCCGGUAGUCCACGCCGUAAACGAUGGGUGCUGGGUGUCGGUCCGGUAAAACGGAUCGGUGCCGAAGUUAACACGUUAAGCACCCCACCUGGGGACUACGGCCGCAAGGUUGAAACCCAAAGGAAUUGACGGGGGCCCGCACAACCGGUGGAACAUGUGGUUUAAUUCGAUGAUACGCGAAAAACCUUACCUGGGCUUGACAUGCUGGUAGUAGAACCCCGAAAGGGGAACGAUUUGCCGCAAGGCAGAAGCCAGCACAGGUGGUGCAUGGCC